This 45-nucleotide non-coding RNA is filed under the name Schistosoma margrebowiei. Lineage: Eukaryota; Metazoa; Platyhelminthes; Trematoda; Strigeidida; Schistosomatidae. The record is from RNAcentral.
AUCCAGAUGACGAGUCCUAAAUGGAACGAAACGCUCAUCUUGGAU